GGCGAGAGAGGACUGCCCAUCGGAACCCCUAUUUUCUGUCGAAACAAAUCACCAUUGAAUUCAAAUUCAUUGUUUUUUAGUAUGAUUCUUAUAAGUUCUAACAUACUUUGUUUAGGCGGAAUUUUUAUUUUGAAAUUGCAUGAUCUAAGCUUAUUCCAAGCUCUAUCAACGGCAUUAACAAUUUCGGAAUGUUCCAUAUUUGUGUACAUACUUGUUACAUCAAAUGAUGCCAUGAUAAAUUCAAACGGAAGCUUAAGUUCUUCUAUUUUAUUUAUAAACGCUGUGCUGUCUUUCGUGUAUGUCCAUUGUUGAAAGACUAUUUCCCUUAAGAAAUAAUCAAUAAAAUGUGCAAUUGUCUCAGUAGGACUGCCUGACAUAGAUAUAAUAGGUCUGCCCGGUAUGUUUAUAUCUUUAAUAAGAUUUUUGUCUUUUUCGAUGUCAUUUAUUUGAUCUAUGCUUAAUUUAUGUGUUUUUGGAAGCAUAUAUAAACGACCUGGUUUGAACUCCUUGCCAGAUGUCAAAUAAUCUAGAGAAUAUUUGUCUAUAUGACCCAUGUUGUGUAGAGGAAUAAUUAUAUCAAUUAUCUUGUUGUAAA
RNAcentral lists this long non-coding RNA (595 nucleotides) under Mytilus galloprovincialis (Mediterranean mussel). Lineage: Eukaryota; Metazoa; Mollusca; Bivalvia; Mytilida; Mytilidae. The record is from RNAcentral.